GAGCAGCAGCGGCAGCCGCCCAUCACUACUACUGAUCACCUCCUCUUCAAUACAAUUUUGAGCACAACAAGAUGGCUGCCGCCUUCUCCUCCACCGUUGGAGCUCCGGCGUCCACUCCGACGACGUUCCUGGGGAAGAAGCUGAAGAAGCAGGUGACCUCGGCCAUGAACUACCAUGGGAAGAGCUCGAACGUGAACAGGUUCAGAGUGAUGGCAAAGGAGCUGGACGAGGGCAAGCAGACGGACCAGGACAAGUGGAAGGGCCUGGCCUACGACAUCUCCGACGACCAGCAGGACAUCACCAGGGGGAAGGGUCUCGUCGACUCCCUCUUCCAGGCUCCCACGGGCGACGGCACCCACGAGGCCGUCCUCAGCUCCUACGAGUACCUCAGCCAGGGUCUCAGAACCUACGACUUCGACAACACCAUGGGAGGGUUCUACAUCGCCCCGGCUUUCAUGGACAAGCUCGUCGUCCACAUCUCCAAGAACUUCAUGAGCCUGCCCAACAUCAAGGUCCCACUCAUCCUGGGUAUCUGGGGAGGCAAGGGUCAGGGAAAAUCCUUCCAGUGUGAGCUCGUCUUCGCCAAGAUGGGGAUCAACCCGAUCAUGAUGAGCGCCGGAGAGCUGGAGAGCGGCAACGCCGGAGAGCCGGCGAAGCUGAUCAGGCAGCGGUACCGUGAGGCGGCGGACAUCAUCAAGAAGGGGAAGAUGUGCUGCCUCUUCAUCAACGAUCUGGACGCAGGAGCCGGGCGGAUGGGCGGCACCACGCAGUACACGGUGAACAACCAGAUGGUGAACGCCACGCUGAUGAACAUCGCCGACAACCCCACCAACGUGCAGCUGCCGGGCAUGUACAACAAGGAGGAGAACCCGCGCGUCCCCAUCAUCGUCACCGGUAACGACUUCUCCACGCUGUACGCUCCCCUCAUCCGUGACGGGCGCAUGGAGAAGUUCUACUGGGCUCCCACCCGCGACGACCGCGUCGGAGUGUGCAAGGGUAUCUUCCGCACCGACAACGUCCCCGAGGACGACAUCGUCAAGGUCGUCGACACCUUCCCAGGCCAAUCCAUCGACUUCUUCGGCGCUCUCCGUGCCCGUGUUUACGACGACGAGGUGCGCAAGUGGGUGUCUGACACCGGAGUGGAGAACAUCGGCAAGAGGCUGGUGAACUCCAGGGAGGGCCCGCCGGAGUUCGAGCAGCCCAAGAUGACGAUCCAGAAGCUCCUAGAGUACGGCCAAAUGCUUGUCAGGGAGCAGGAGAACGUCAAGCGUGUGCAGCUGGCUGACAAGUACUUGAGUGAGGCUGCUCUUGGUGACGCCAACCAGGACGCCAUGAAGACUGGCUCCUUCUACGGUGCUGCGCCAUCCAGCUGAACAAACGAUCUCUAGCUAUUCUCGUACCAUCGAUCUCGUAGGCGGUCUGCAUAGGAGGAGGAGGGCAAGGAGCACAGCAAGCAGGUAACCUGCCUGUGCCGGAAGGUUGCACCGACCCUGGUGCCAAGAACUUCGACCCGACGGCGAGGAGCGACGACGGCAGCUGCCUCUACACCUUCUAAGCAGGCCUCUUGCUAUAUAUUAAUUAUCUCUCUCUUUGUGUUAAUUUUCUCUUUGUACUACAUGUAUCAGAUCGCGCCCAAGCCAUAGCUGGGCAGGACAAGUUUUUGUUAAUAAUAAUAUAAUAUAAAAGAUAUUCCCUACACUACACUACAUGCAAGAUUUUCAUUUUGGUAAA
Molecule: RNA transcript, 1731 nt
Organism: Oryza brachyantha (malo sina)
Lineage: Eukaryota; Viridiplantae; Streptophyta; Magnoliopsida; Poales; Poaceae
Gene name: ribulose bisphosphate carboxylase/oxygenase activase, chloroplastic
Exons: 7
Source: RefSeq, a predicted model, not a curated record